RNAcentral lists this ribosomal RNA (121 nucleotides) under Aegilops tauschii subsp. strangulata. Lineage: Eukaryota; Viridiplantae; Streptophyta; Magnoliopsida; Poales; Poaceae. The record is from RNAcentral.
GGAUGCGAUCAUACCAGCACUAAAGCACCGGAUCCCAUCAGAACUCCGAAGUUAAGCGUGCAUAUGUUUAGCACGUUUUACUAUUUUGCACGUUUACGGUAAGAGUUUUAGCUCGCUGCUC